UACGUAGGGUGCGAGCGUUGUCCGGAUUUAUUGGGCGUAAAGAGCUCGUAGGCGGCUUGUCGCGUCGACCGUGAAAACUUGGGGCUCAACCCCAAGCCUGCGGUCGAUACGGGCAGGCUCGAGUUCGGUAGGGGAGACUGGAAUUCCUGGUGUAGCGGUGAAAUGCGCAGAUAUCAGGAGGAACACCGGUGGCGAAGGCGGGUCUCUGGGCCGAUACUGACGCUGAGGAGCGAAAGCGUGGGGAGCGAACAGG
RNAcentral lists this ribosomal RNA (253 nucleotides) under uncultured bacterium. RNAcentral's name for it is "partial 16S ribosomal RNA". It matches the Rfam family "Bacterial small subunit ribosomal RNA", at positions 524 to 776 of the family's 1533-position model. The record is from RNAcentral.